RNAcentral lists this ribosomal RNA (429 nucleotides) under Acidobacteriota bacterium. RNAcentral's name for it is "Acidobacteria bacterium partial 16S ribosomal RNA". It matches the Rfam family "Bacterial small subunit ribosomal RNA", at positions 355 to 776 of the family's 1533-position model. Lineage: Bacteria; Pseudomonadati; Acidobacteriota. The record is from RNAcentral.
UGGGGAAUUUUGGACAAUGGGCGAAAGCCUGAUCCAGCAAUGCCGCGUGUGUGAAUAAGGCCUUCGGGUUGGAAAGCACUUUUGUCCGGAAAGAAAUGGCUCUGGUUAAUACCUGGGGUCGAUGACGGUACCGGAAGAAUAAGGACCGGCUAACUACGUGCCAGCAGCCGCGGUAAUACGUAGGGUCCAAGCGUUAAUCGGAAUUACUGGGCGUAAAGCGUGCGCAGGCGGUUGUGCAAGACCGAUGUGAAAUCCCCGAGCUUAGCGUGGGAAUUGCAUUGGUGACUGCACGGCUAGAGUUUGUCAGAGGUGGGUAGAAUUCCACGUGUAGCAGUGAAAUGCGUAGAGAUGUGGAGGAAUACCGAUGGCGAAGGCAGCCCCCUGGGAUAACACUGACGCUCAUGCACGAAAGCGUGGGGAGCAAACAGG